AGGGUCGACAGAGAGAGAGGGUAGACAAAGAGAGAGGGUAGACAGAGAGAGAGGGUAGACAGAGAGAGAGGGUAGACAGGGAGAGAGGGUAGACAAAGAGAGAGGGUAGACAGAGAGAGAGGGUAGACAGAGAGAGAGGGUAGAUAGAGAGGGAGGGUAGACAGAGAGAGAGGGUAGACAGAGAUGGAGGGUAGACAGAGAGAGAGGGUAGACAGAGAUGGAGGAGAGAGAGAGAGAGAGAGAGAGAGAGAGAGAGAGAGGGUAGACAGAGAGAGAGGGUAGACAGAGAGGGUUGACAGAGAGAGAGGGUCGACAGAGAGAGAGAGGGUUGACAGAGAGAGAGAGGGUAGACAGAGAGAGAGGGUAGACAAAGAGAGGAUAGACAGAGAGAGAGGGUAGACAGAGAGAGAGGGUAGACAGGGAGAGAGGGUAGACAAAGAGAGAGGGUAGACAGAGAGAGAGAGGGUAGACAGAGAGAGAGAGAGGGUAGACAGAGAGAGAGAGGGUAGACAAAGAGAGAGGGUAGACAGAGAGAGAGGGUAGACAGAGAGAGAGGGUAUUCAGAGAGGGUUGACAGAGAGAGAGGGUAGACAGGGAGAGAGGGUAGACAGAGAGAGAGGGUAUCUGACAGGGAGAGAGGGUAGACAGAGAGAGAGGGUAGACAAAGAGAGAGGGUAGACAAAGAGAGAGGGUAGACAGAGAGAGAUGGAGGGUAGACAGAGAGAGAGAGGGUGGACAGGGAGAGAGGGUAGACAGAGAUGGAGGGUAGACAGAGAGAGAGGGUAGACAGAGACAGAGGGUAGACAGAGAGAGAGGGUAGACAGAGAGAGGGUAGACAGAGAGAGAUGGAGGGUAGACAGAGAGAGAGAGGGUGGACAGAGAUGGAGGGUAGACAGAGAUGGAGGGUAGACAGAGAGAGAGGGUAGACAGAGAGAGAGGGUAGACAGAGAGAGAGGGUGGACAGAGAGAGAGGGUAGACAGAGAUGGAGGGUAGACAGAGAGAGAG
RNAcentral lists this long non-coding RNA (1006 nucleotides) under Salmo salar (Atlantic salmon). RNAcentral's name for it is "lncRNA (ENSSSAG00000121546.1)". Lineage: Eukaryota; Metazoa; Chordata; Actinopteri; Salmoniformes; Salmonidae. The record is from RNAcentral.